Molecule: long non-coding RNA, 1281 nt
Filed under: Helianthus annuus (common sunflower)
Lineage: Eukaryota; Viridiplantae; Streptophyta; Magnoliopsida; Asterales; Asteraceae
Description: hypothetical non coding rna
Source: RNAcentral
UUAAAAUCAGUAUCAUUUCAGAACCUAGACAAAAAAAAAAAUCACGUUCUGACCAGAUGAUGAAUCAUAGAGAUGAUUAGAUUGGUGAUAAUUAGGGCGCAAAUCUGAAACCUUCAACGAUCUCUUCAAUCUAUUGAUUUCUUCAACAAUUUUAGGGCUUAUAAAAUCUUCAAUUUGUUCUGAAGCUAUAUUCAUCAAUUUCUCAGUGAUUUGCAGGCAUCAGCCGCAUUGGGAUUAGAGAUGGUCCUUCCAAAGACUCAUGACUUGGCUGAAAUGAUUUGGUUUGCUUACAGCAACACAAAAGCAAUCCUCUUUUCCCCUCUUUUCUUCUCGUUAUGGAUGCUGGAACAAUAGUUACUUCACAAAGCAAUCCUUCUCUUUUCGUCGUGAAACCUUUAAGCUGAUGGAAGGGGCGUGGCGGUGGCACCAUCGCCCCUUUAUCCCGUGCGUUUUAUUCCGUUAAAAGUACAUGCUACAUAAUGCUUCGAAUUCUUUUGGGUCUUUAGAUUUCUCUACUGGUAGUAAAGCUCCACUGAAUAGAAUAUGAGCAUAUCUUUGUUGGCCGCAACAUUUCUGGACAACACUUCAUCCACAUUGCCUCCAACCACAUGUUGAUCUAUGAUUAAAUGGACUUCUUGCCAUUUGGUGAAGAGAAUGAUGAUCAAGCUCUAGCGUUUAACAGUGAGGGUAGCAAUCAAUCUUGGAGAGUGAAACACAAAAGAAAUGACAUGUCAUUCAAGAUUCAUUAUCUUUAGAAGACGAAUCUUGUCAUCUACUUGAAAAGCUCGACACAAGUCACGAAGGUCAACAAUGCCCGAAUGUUAAAUGAGGCUUGGGAGAGAAGAGAGAGGGCUAGAAGGUUUGUAUCUUUCACAAGCCAAAUGCCUGGUUUGUUGUUGGUUUGGGCUCCAAAGCAGUCAAAGGCCAUGAAUGUUAAACCCGAGCCCAAAAGAAAGAAACAGAUGGGGGUUAGUUAUAGUGUUGUUUGUGAGACUCCAUUGAUCGGUGACAGGCCUUUCUAAGGCAUUAUUUCAAGAUGGCAGGUGAACAAAUACAAAUAAAAUGAUCACUAAUGUAGCCUGGCCUCAUAUUAUUAUUAGAUGAGACAAAACAAGCUGAUGGCGCUCAAAGUUAGUCAUACAUGACUAGCUGGCUAAAUAUACACAGAGUUAGUACUGUAUGAUCAUGUUGUUUGAAUCUUAAUUGUUUUUCAAAAGUUUGGAGCAUGUAUUCUGUUGAUUCAGAACAUUCAUCUAACGUUUAUAUGCCAUUCUGUUCUUU